Cydia fagiglandana is the source of this 160-nucleotide long non-coding RNA. RefSeq lists it as uncharacterized. The record is from RefSeq and is a predicted model, not a curated record. Lineage: Eukaryota; Metazoa; Arthropoda; Insecta; Lepidoptera; Tortricidae. The transcript is spliced from 2 exons.
GUGCGGAAAGCACAUUUACAGUACAUAUGGUGCUACUUUACCGCACUAGUGCGAUAAUUAGCACAUUACGAAACUAUGUCGAAAUUUUAAAGGGCCAUAUGUACUGUAGAACGUUGUACGAUACUCGUGCGAAUAGGUAAUUCGCAACUCGUGUCGAUUU